Molecule: ribosomal RNA, 466 nt
Filed under: uncultured bacterium
Lineage: Bacteria
Description: partial 16S ribosomal RNA
Rfam family: Bacterial small subunit ribosomal RNA
Source: RNAcentral
GAUGAACGCUGGCGGCGUGCUUAACACAUGCAAGUCGAACGAUGAAGCCCAGCUUGCUGGGUGGAUUAGUGGCGAACGGGUGAGUAACACGUGAGUAACCUGCCCUUAACUCUGGGAUAAGCCUGGGAAACUGGGUCUAAUACCGGAUAGGAGCGUCCACCGCAUGGUGGGUGUUGGAAAGAUUUAUCGGUUUUGGAUGGACUCGCGGCCUAUCAGCUUGUUGGUGAGGUAAUGGCUCACCAAGGCCACGACGGGUAGCCGGCCUGAGAGGGUGACCGGCCACACUGGGACUGAGACACGGACCAGACUCCUACGGGAGGCAGCAGUGGGGAAUAUUGCACAGUGGGCGCAAGCCUGAUGCAGAGACGCCGCGUGAGGGAUGACGGCCUUCGGGUUGUAAACCUCUUUCAGUAGGGAAGAAGCGAAAGUGACGGUACCUGAAGAAGAAGCACCGGCUAACUACGUG